UACGGUUUUGAAAUUGGCUAC
RNAcentral lists this non-coding RNA (21 nucleotides) under Caenorhabditis elegans. Lineage: Eukaryota; Metazoa; Nematoda; Chromadorea; Rhabditida; Rhabditidae. The record is from RNAcentral.